GAUGAACGCUAGCUACAGGCUUAACACAUGCAAGUCGAGGGGCAUCACAGUGUAGCAAUACACGGGUGGCGACCGGCGCACGGGUGCGUAACACGUAUCCAAUCUGCCCGUUACUCGGGGAUAGCCUUCUGAAAGGAAGAUUAAUACCCGAUGGCAUGUACUUCCGGCAUCGGAGAUACAUUAAAGAUUUAUCGGUAACGGAUGAGGAUGCGUACGAUUAGCUGGUUGGCGGGGUAACGGCCCACCAAGGCUACGAUCGUUAGGGGUUCUGAGAGGAAGGUCCCCCACACUGGAACUGAGACACGGUCCAGACUCCUACGGGAGGCAGCAGUGAGGAAUAUUGGUCAAUGGUCUGACGACUGAACCAGCCAUGCCGCGUGAAGGUGACGGCCCUAUGGGUCUUAAACUUCUUUUGUAAGGGAGCAAUAAGUCUCACGUGUGGGAUGAUGAGAGUACCUUACGAAUAAGCAUCGGCUAACUCCGUGCCAGCAGCCGACGG
RNAcentral lists this ribosomal RNA (499 nucleotides) under uncultured bacterium. Its description in RNAcentral is "bacterial SSU rRNA". It matches the Rfam family "Bacterial small subunit ribosomal RNA", at positions 28 to 520 of the family's 1533-position model. The record is from RNAcentral.